Molecule: long non-coding RNA, 243 nt
Organism: Pyrus x bretschneideri (Chinese white pear)
Lineage: Eukaryota; Viridiplantae; Streptophyta; Magnoliopsida; Rosales; Rosaceae
Exons: 2
Source: RefSeq, a predicted model, not a curated record
CCAAAUUGAGUUCUAAAAAUUGUCACGUGUUCGUGACGUCGUGUAGAUCACCGUGGUGAAAAUUAUACAGAAGAAGAAUGUAACCAAUCUAGGGGAGGCUCAGGGACCUACGAGACGUUGAUGUGAUCUGUGAGUGGGCAGUUUUGUUUUCGUAUAUAUACGUAUGCUUGACGUAUUUCCCAAAAAACGUAUUUUAAAAGAAAUACGAAUUGAAUAUCCUGUCAUAUAUGCAUCGUAUUUUAA